RNAcentral lists this unclassified non-coding RNA (365 nucleotides) under uncultured bacterium. Its description in RNAcentral is "contains 16S-23S intergenic spacer region". The record is from RNAcentral.
UCCCGGUUGGCCCGGGCAGUCUCGUAUGAAAAAUACAACAUACGAUAGGGGUUGCGCUCGUUGCGGGACUUAACCCAACAUUUCACAACACGAGCUGACGACGGCCAUGCAGCACCUGUCACUAGGUUCUCAAAGAGCACGGCACUGUUUCCAGCGCUUUCCUAGGAUGUCAAGCCUUGGUAAGGUUCUACGCGUAUCGUCGAAUUAAACCACAUCAUCCUCUGCUUGUGCGGGUCCCCGUCAAUUCCUUUGAGUUUUAAGCUUGCGCUCGUACUCCCCAGGCGGCACACUUAUCGCGUUAGCUUCUCAGCACAGGGGGUCGAUACCCCAUACUAAUAGUGUGCAUCGUUUACGGCGUGGACUAC